GACAUUGCGUGUCCUACCAUGCGCGUGGAGCGGUAGCUUUCUAGCUUGCUAGAAGAUGACGAGCGGCGGACGGGUGAGUAAUGCUUGGGAACAUGCCUUGAGGUGGGGGACAACCGUUGGAAACGACGGCUAAUACCGCAUAAUGUCUACGGACCAAAGGGGGCUUCGGCUCUCGCCUUUAGAUUGGCCCAAGUGGGAUUAGCUAGUUGGUGAGGUAAUGGCUCACCAAGGCGACGAUCCCUAGCUGGUUUGAGAGGAUGAUCAGCCACACUGGAACUGAGACACGGUCCAGACUCCUACGGGAGGCAGCAGUGGGGAAUAUUGCACAAUGGGCGCAAGCCUGAUGCAGCCAUGCCGCGUGUGUGAAGAAGGCCUUCGGGUUGUAAAGCACUUUCAGCAAGGAGGAAAGGUUAGUAGUUAAUACCUGCUAGCUGUGACGUUACUUGCAGAAGAAGCACCGGCUAACUCCGUGCCAGCAGCCGCGGUAAUACGGAGGGUGCGAGCGUUAAUCGGAAUUACUGGGCGUAAAGCGUACGCAGGCGGUUUGUUAAGCGAGAUGUGAAAGCCCCGGGCUUAACCUGGGAACUGCAUUUCGAACUGGCAAACUAGAGUGUGAUAGAGGGUGGUAGAAUUUCAGGUGUAGCGGUGAAAUGCGUAGAGAUCUGAAGGAAUACCGAUGGCGAAGGCAGCCACCUGGGUCAACACUGACGCUCAUGUACGAAAGCGUGGGGAGCAAACAGGAUUAGAUACCCUGGUAGUCCACGCCGUAAACGAUGUCUACUAGAAGCUCGACUUUUCGGAGUUGUUUUUCAAAGCUAACGCAUUAAGUAGACCGCCUGGGGAGUACGGCCGCAAGGUUAAAACUCAAAUGAAUUGACGGGGGCCCGCACAAGCGGUGGAGCAUGUGGUUUAAUUCGAUGCAACGCGAAGAACCUUACCUACACUUGACAUACAGAGAACUUUCUAGAGAUAGAUUGGUGCCUUCGGGAACUCUGAUACAGGUGCUGCAUGGCUGUCGUCAGCUCGUGUUGUGAGAUGUUGGGUUAAGUCCCGCACGAGCGCAACCCCUUUCCUUAGUUGCCAGCGAUUCGGUCGGGAACUUCUAAGGAGACUG
This 1114-nucleotide ribosomal RNA is filed under the name Pseudoalteromonas sp. D6019. Its description in RNAcentral is "bacterial SSU rRNA". It matches the Rfam family "Bacterial small subunit ribosomal RNA", at positions 38 to 1151 of the family's 1533-position model. The record is from RNAcentral. Lineage: Bacteria; Pseudomonadati; Pseudomonadota; Gammaproteobacteria; Alteromonadales; Pseudoalteromonadaceae.